Molecule: non-coding RNA, 27 nt
Filed under: Cricetulus griseus (Chinese hamster)
Lineage: Eukaryota; Metazoa; Chordata; Mammalia; Rodentia; Cricetidae
Source: RNAcentral
UCCCGGGCGACUCGGAGCGCAUAGAGU